AUGCUCGCUUCAGCAGCACAUAUACUAAAAUUGGAACGAUACAGAGAUGAGUAUGGCCCCUGUGCAAGGAUGACUCACAAAUUCAUGGUGUUCCGUAUUUUUUA
This is a non-coding RNA of Myotis davidii, 104 nucleotides long. The record is from Rfam. Lineage: Eukaryota; Metazoa; Chordata; Mammalia; Chiroptera; Vespertilionidae.